This 468-nucleotide ribosomal RNA is filed under the name uncultured bacterium. RNAcentral describes it as "partial 16S ribosomal RNA". It matches the Rfam family "Bacterial small subunit ribosomal RNA", at positions 28 to 507 of the family's 1533-position model. The record is from RNAcentral.
GACGAACGCUGGCGGCGUGCCUAACACAUGCAAGUCGAACGGAAAGGCCCUGCUUUUGUGGGGUGCUCGAGUGGCGAACGGGUGAGUAACACGUGAGUAACCUGCCCUUGACUUUGGGAUAACUUCAGGAAACUGGGGCUAAUACCGGAUAGGAGCUCCUGCUGCAUGGUGGGGGUUGGAAAGUUUCGGCGGUUGGGGAUGGACUCGCGGCUUAUCAGCUUGUUGGUGGGGUAGUGGCUUACCAAGGCUUUGACGGGUAGCCGGCCUGAGAGGGCGACCGGCCACAUUGGGACUGAGAUACGGCCCAGACUCCUACGGGAGGCAGCAGUGGGGAAUAUUGCACAAUGGGCGGAAGCCUGAUGCAGCAACGCCGCGUGCGGGAUGACGGCCUUCGGGUUGUAAACCGCUUUCGCCUGUGACGAAGCGUGAGUGACGGUAAUGGGUAAAGAAGCACCAGCUAACUACGUG